ACCUUCAGUGGUAUAGUUGGUAGCACCUUUGCUUAGUAAUAAUAAGUCCCAGGUUCAAGUCCUGGUCGGGGUA
This is a non-coding RNA of Halocaridina rubra (Hawaiian volcano shrimp), 73 nucleotides long. The record is from the annotation of a GenBank genome assembly. Lineage: Eukaryota; Metazoa; Arthropoda; Malacostraca; Decapoda; Atyidae.